GCGCGCGACCACUUACGCGUGGGUCCUGGUCGUCAGGUCUAUCCUCUCCCUUGCAUCGUAACAGCUCGAGCGCAGAACUCGGCUGGAACUUCGGACGACUCAGCUCGGAAUCCUCUCGUGGCAGUGUAUAAAUCCAACACGCAACCGUGGAUCUCGCCAAAUCGCCAGGAUCACGACGCCCUGCGCGCACCCCUGCCUACACACACCUGCCGCCGCCUUCCCAGCGCGCGGAGCCGCUCCGCGCCGUCGAUCCUCCAUGGUCAAGGCAUCGGGCGAAACCAGGAAAUAUCGCGGGGCGCGGUGGAGCGUCCCAUGAUGACUGCUCGCGCGGGGGGGUCCAAUGCUGGCGGAAGUGUUGCCGUAGAGCUUCGGCGCCUCGGAACUUCUCGCCAUCGGUGAUGGUCCACCGUGGACCGCAUCCCUCCGCAUCUAUGCUCGACUCCACGCAGGUAUCUGUAUGAACCCAUUCCCCGUGCUCGCCUUGUGGUCCGCGUAGCAUAGCUUAGGUUUUCGGUUGGUAAUAACCGUCGGUUCGCCGGACCCAGGGCGCCGGCCAUGGGCGCCACCAUGGGCUGGCAUGUCACCGUGGCCGUCUGCCGUAAGGUACCUUCUACCUGAUCACCUCGUCCUCGAUUUCGUUUUGCGCACGAAGUUAACCUCAUCCAGUAGUCGGAGCAGUGGAAUUCGGGUGGCCGGCGAAGGGCUCCGCCGUGCGGAGGUGUCCCUGCGCGGCUCCGACUGGGAGGUUGAUGACGCUGGGGCGUCCGUAGAUUAGAAAAUGAACGGCCCGGAUCGAAUCUGUGGCUCGGUUUAGCUAGGGCUGCGCUCGACCGUGGGAUUCAAAUCAUGCGCACGCGAGUAGUUUGGAGCAUUUAAAAAUCGUGCCCGCAAAUCUGGCAUCCGACGGCUGAGUUUGGGUACCGGUUCGCGGGGGCUACGAUGUAAUCCGAGCGCUCGGCUUUUAAUUCAACGGCCGAUAUUAAGCGAUACCCCUUCGGCUCUGGCUUUUUGCGUAAGAAACCCUGGGGUUAAAAGAAUUCAACCCGCCGUCCUUACCAGGGGCGCUCAGAGUCUUGAGAUAACUUACAUGUUGGCCCCUGCGCUUACCAGAAAUUGACGCCCACUCCAGGGAAUUAUAAAACCAGAGAAAAUAAACCAGAAAUGUAUUUUUAGUAUAAAUAAUUGCAGAAACUUGUUUAAACCCUAGAAAAUUCAUAUGAACUCCAAAUUGAUCCAUUCCAAUUCCUAUAAUUUUGUAAUAAUGUUGUUUAUCACCCUGUGUCUCUGAUUUAACAUGAAAAUGGUAUUAAAAAUUUAUCUCUUAAUUAAUCUCGUACCAAAUACAUAAACCUUGGAAAAUUCAUAACUCUUCCGUUUUAACCCCGAUUUGAUCCGUUCAAGUUGCGUUGGUCUCGUAGAAACGCGUAGAUUAUUAUUACGCAAUUUAUUCUUAUGAUUGGUGUGAUGUUAAUCUUGCGUAUACCAUGUUUGUUUGUAUUGCUACGACUAGCGUGAGGACACGUGUCAUCUGAAGAGCAAGUUGGUACCUGGAAUCUCAAGCCCUAGGCAAGUUGUGCCCUUGAUCACUUCUUUUACCCACUCAUGUUCUAAUUAAUCAUAAUGAUCUGCAUAGGUUAAUUUUGAUGGGACCCAAUAGGUUACCCUAGUUUGAUUAUCUUUAUACCUUGUUUACCACUGAACUUUUUGGGUAGUACUUGCUAGUGCUUUUAUGUGGUUUUGGGUAUGAGGAUACAUUAUUCAUGAUCACACUGUUAUUAUCUGUUUAUUAUUACUGUUCAUGAUAAGAUCAUUAUGUUAAUUGGAACAUGGAGAACCACCCGGGAAAACAGUGCUACCACAAGGGUUUAAUGGGACGCCCUUGGCCGAUUAAUUAGGAAAGCUAGUGGAAGACUACCUUACCUGAAAGGGGCAAGGGCAGUAGGGGAGUGGUCAGUGUAGGGAGGCCCUCGGGAGGAUUUUGCUGUGAUGGCGGUCCUGCAAGGGAUUCCUGGGGAGGCCCUCGGGAGGAUUUUGCUGUGAUGGCGGUCCUGCAAGGGAUUCCUGGGGAGGCCCUCGGGAGGAUUUUGCUGUGAUGGCGGUCCUGCAAGGGAUUCCUGCAUUGGAGCUUCCUAUAAACUGUAGCGGGUUUUCUGAAGCUAGUGGAACUUUGUAAAGGCCUCGUAGUGUUACCCUGCCUCGCCUCCUCGGUAGAGGUGUAUGGAAAGUCGCGAUCCCUUGGCAGAUGGGUAACAUGACUUGUGGGUAAAGAUGCGCAACCUCUGCAGAGUGUAAAACUGGUAUACUAGCCGUGCUCACGGUCAUGAGCGGCUCGGACACUCACAUGAUUAAUUUAUGGAACUUAAAUUCAAUUUGUCAUAUGCAUUGCAUCGCAGGUGAUGUUGUUACUUCUGUUCUACUACUUAAUUGGGUUGGUAUUUACUUAUACUUAGUAAUUGCUAAUAAAAUUUUGACCAACUUUAAAAGCAAUGCUCAGCUUCAACCAUCUCCGUUGGUAAGCCUUACACUUCACGUGAGCUCCCACCUUUGGCGAGUUCAUUCACAUUAUUCCCCACAACUUGUUGAGCAAUGAACGUAUGUGAGCUCACUCUUGCUGUCUCACACCCCCCCACAGGUCAAGAACAGGUACCGCAUGUUGAGGCGCUUGGAGGAUGCUGCGAUGUGUUCGUGAGUGGUCUAGGCCGUCGUCUCCCAGUCAACUUUGGGUUGCUGGACCGUUGUCUCCCUAUAAUGUAAUUAUUUAUUUUGUAUAGAACUCCUGUUAUAUAUAAAGAUGUGACAUUCGAUCCUGUGCCACUAUACAUCAUAUGUGUGAGACUUGGUCCCAGCACACCUGGUGUUUAUGUUAGCGCCCGGGUUUUGGACCCCUAAAACCCGGGUGUUACAGUUGGCGCGGUGUAGGAGUGUAGCAGUGAUGGUCGAUCCAUUGGGUCGAUGACACUCCCAAAAAUAUGAUUGAUCGUCCCUCACUCGAGCAGAUAAACGCUUGAAUGAUAGUCGUUUCGGAGGCCUACUCUUGCGAGGCCCGUGAGGGUAGAACCUAGCAGUGGAGAUAUUGAGAAACUAGCACCAAAACCACAUAGGGAGAAGAGAGAGACCUCCGCUUAAAGUACCUGAGAUUGAGCUGGUGUAUGUUCAUAUGCUCUGAGCAAAGGGUGUCUGCUCAUUUCAUAUGUGCAUGAGGUGCAAGAUUCAUUGGACGUUCAGGAAGGCUCUGAUGAACAUCACUCCAGCGGUUAUCAAUCCUACAGUUACAAGUAACAUCUGUUUUGAUGGUCAUCAUUUCGAUCACAUUGUUCUAUCUAUCUAUAUGUCUAUCUUGACUCGACAUGAUGCAACACAUCCACACCCAUGGCCUGGUGAAUGAGACGGGCACAUGUGCGUGUGAUAGUUGCCUAGAGGGGGGGUGAAUAGGGCGAAACUGAAAUUUACAAAUAUAAACACAACUACAAGCCGGGUUAGCGUUAGUAAUGAAGAAACGAGUCCGUGAGAGAGGGCGCCAAAACAAAUCCCAAGCGAAUAAGCAAGUGAGACACGGAGAUUUGUUUUACCGAGGUUCGGUUCUUGCAAACCUACUCCCCGUUGAGGAGGCCACAAAGGCCGGGUCUCUUUCAACCCUUCUCUCUCUCAAACGAUCCACGGAUCGAGUGAGCUUUCUCUUCUCAAUCACUUGGAACACAAAGUUUCCGCAAGGACCACCACAAGAUUGGUGUCUCUUGCCUCAAUUACAAGUGAGUUUGAUUGCAAAGAAAGGAUCAAGAAAGAAGAAAGCAAUCCAAGCGCAAGAGCUCGAAAGAACACAAGCAAAACACUCUCUCUAGUCACUAUGGCGUCGUGUGGAAUUUGGAGAGGAUUUGAUCUCUUUGGUGUGUCUAGAAUUGAAUGCUAGAGCUCUUGUAGUAGUUGAGAAGUGGAAAACUUGGAUGCAAUGAAUGGUGGGGUGGUUGGGGUAUUUAUAGCCCCAACCACCAAAAGUGGCCGUUGGGAGGCUGUCUGCACGAUGGCACACCGGACAGUCCGGUGCACACCGGACAGUCCGGUGCCCCCUGCCACGUCAUCACUGUCGUUGGAUUCUGACCGUUGGAGCUUCUGACUUGUGGGCCCGCCUGGGUGUCCGGUGCACACCGGACAACUCCUGUUCAUUGUCCGGUGCGCCGGAAUGGGCGCGCCUGACUUCUGCGCGCGCAGAGCGCGCAUUAAAUGCGCGGCAGAGAGCCGUUGGCGCGGAGAUAGUCGUUGCUCCGGAGUCGCACCGGACAGUCCGGUGCAUACCGGACAGUCCGGUGAAUUAUAGCGGACUAGCCGUUGCAGUUUCCCGAAGCUGGCGAGUUCCUGAGGCCGCUCCUCCUUGGCGCACCGGACAUUGUCCGGUGUACACCGGACAGUCCGGUGAAUUAUAGCGCGAGUGCCUCUGGAAAUUCCCGAAGGUGACGAGUUCGAGUUGGAGUCCUCUGGUGCACCGGACAUGUCCGGUGGCACACCGGACAGUCCGGUGCGCCAGACCAGAGGUGCCUUCGGUUGGCCCUUCGCUCCUUUGUUGAAUCCAAAACUUGGUCUUUUUAUUGGCUGAGUGUGAACCUUUUACACCUGUAUAAUCUAUACACUUGGGCAAACUAGUUAGUCCAAUUAUUUGUGUUGGGCAAUUCAACCACCAAAAUUAAUUAGGGACUAGGUGUAAGCCUAAUUCCCUUUCAAUCUCCCCCUUUUUGGUGAUUGAUGCCAACACAAACCAAAGCAAAUAUGGAAGUGCAUAAUUGAACUAGUUUGCAUAAUGUAAGUGCAAAGGUUGCUUGGAAUUGAGCCAAUAUAAAUACUUACAAGAUAUGCAUGGAAUGUUUCUUUCUUAUAUAACAUUUUGGACCACGCUUGCACCACAUGUUUUGUUUUUGCAAACUCUUUUGUAAAUUCUUUUCAAAGUUCUUUUGCAAAUAGUCAAAGGUAAAUGAAUAAGAUUUUGCAAAGCAUUUUCAAGGUUUGAAAUUUUCUCCCCCUGUUUCAAAUGCUUUUCCUUUGACUAAACAAAACUCCCCCUAAAUGAGAUUCACCUCUUAGUGUUCAAGAGGGUUUUGAUAUAUACUUUUGAAAUACUAUUCAAUACUUGAGUUUUUGAAUUUGGUGGUGGUGCGGUCCUUUUGCUUUGGGCUCAUUUCUCCCCCUUUUUGGCAUGAAUCGCCAAAAACGGAAUCAUUAGAGCCCUCGAAGUGCCAUCUUCCCCUUUGGUCAUAAAUAAAUGAGUUAAGAUUAUACCAAAGAUGAAGUCCGGUUUUUUUUGCUUUGGGCUCUUAUUUUCUCCCCCAAAGACAAAGUCCUUUUGCUUUGAAUUCUCCCCCUAAAGAUGGAGAGAAGCGCGGAGUGACGGCGAAGGAUGAGUUACGGAGUGGAAGCCUUUGUCUUCGCCGAAGACUCCAAUUUCCUUUCAAUAUACCUAUGACUUGGUUUGAGAUAGACUUGAAAACCCAUUAGUCAUAGCAUAUAAAAGAGAUAUGAUCAAAGGUAUAUAGAUGAGCUAUGUGUGCAAUCUAGCAAAAGAAAUUGCGUGAAUCAAGAAUAUUUAGCUCAUGCCUAAGUUUGUUAAAAGAUUGUUCAUCAAGAGGCUUGGUAAAGAUAUCGGCUAAUUGAUCUUUAGUGUUAAUGUAAGAAAUCUCGAUAUCUCCCUUUUGUUGGUGAUCCCUAAGAAAGUGAUACCGAAUGGCUAUGUGUUUAGUGCGGCUAUGCUCGACGGGAUUGUCGGCCAUUUUGAUUGCACUCUCAUUAUCACAUAGCAAAGGGACUUUGGUUAAUUUGUAACCGUAGUCCCGCAGGGUUUGCCUCAUCCAAAGCAAUUGCGCGCAACAAUGGCCUGCGGCAAUAUACUCGGCUUCGGCGGUAGAAAGAGCGACCGAAUUUUGCUUCUUUGAAGCCCAAGACACCAAGGAUCUUCCCAAGAACUGGCAAGUCCCCGAUGUGCUCUUCCUAUUGAUUUUACACCCCGCCCAAUCGGCAUCCGAAUAACCAAUCAAAUCAAAUGUGGAUCCCCGAGGGUACCAAAGCCCAAACUUAGGAGUAUAAGCUAAAUAUCUCAAGAUUCGUUUUACGGCCGUAAGGUGAGCUUCCUUAGGGUCGGCUUGGAAUCUUGCACACAUGCAUACGGAAAGCAUAAUGUCCGGUCGAGAUGCACAUAAAUAAAGUAAUGAACCUAUCAUCGACCGGUAUACCUUUUGAUCCACGGACUUACCUCCCGUGUCGAGGUCGAGAUGCCCAUUAGUUCCCAUGGGUGUCUUGAUGGGUUUGGCAUCCUUCAUCCCGAACUUGCUUAGAAUAUCUUGAGUGUACUUCGUUUGGCUAAUGAAGGUGCCCUCUUGGAGUUGCUUGACUUGGAAUCCUAGGAAAUACUUCAACUCCCCCAUCAUAGACAUCUCGAAUUUUUGUGUCAUAAUCCUACUAAACUCUUCACAUGUAGACUCGUUAGUAGACCCAAAUAUGAUAUCAUCAACAUAAAUUUGGCAUACAAACAAGUCAUUUUCAAGGGUUUUAGUAAAGAGUGUAGGAUCGGCUUUUCCGACUUUGAAUCCAUUUGCAAUAAGAAAAUCUCUAAGGCAUUCAUACCAUGCUCUUGGGGCUUGCUUGAGCCCAUAAAGCGCCUUAGAGAGCUUAUAGACAUGAUUAGGAUACUCAUUGUCUUCAAAGCCGGGAGGUUGCUCAACAUAGACCUCUUCCUUGAUUGGUCCAUUGAGGAAGGCACUUUUCACGUCCAUUUGAUAAAGCUUAAAGCCAUGGUAAGUAGCAUAGGCCAAUAAUAUGCGAAUUGACUCAAGCCUAGCUACGGGUGCAUAGGUUUCACCGAAAUCCAAACCUUCGACUUGGGAGUAUCCUUUGGCCACAAGUCGAGCUUUGUUCCUUGUCACCACACCAUGCUCGUCUUGCUUGUUGCGGAAGACCCAUUUGGUUCCUACAACAUUUUGAUUAGGACGUGGAACUAAAUGCCAUACCUCAUUUCUAGUGAAGUUGUUGAGCUCCUCUUGCAUCGCCACCACCCAAUCCGAAUCUUGGAGUGCUUCCUCUACCCUGUGUGGCUCAAUAGAGGAAACAAACGAGUAAUGUUCACAAAAAUGUGCAACACGAGAUCGAGUAGUUACCCCCUUAUGAAUGUCGCCGAGGAUGGUGUCGACGGGGUGAUCUCGUUGGAUUGCUUGGUGGACUCUUGGGUGUGGCGGUCUUUGUUCCUCAUCCUCCUUGUCUUCCUCAUUUACAUCUCCCCCUUGAUCAAUGCCAUCAUCUUGAGGUGGCUCAUUUGCUUGAUCUUCUACUUCAUCAACUUGAGCUUCAUCCUCAUUUUGAGUCGGUGGAGAUGCUUGCAUUGAGGAGGAUGGUUGAUCUUGUGCAUUUGGAGGCUCUUCGGAUUCCUUAGGACACACAUCCCCAAUGGACAUGUUUCUUAGCGCGAUGCAUGGAGCCUCUUCUUCACCUAUCUCAUCAAGAUCAACUUGCUCUACUUGAGAGCCGUUAGUCUCAUCAAACACAACGUCACAUGAGACUUCAACUAGUCCAGUGGACUUGUUAAAGACCCUAUAUGCCCUUGUGUUUGAGUCAUAACCAAGUAAAAAGCCUUCUACAGUCUUAGGAGCAAAUUUGGAUUUUCUACCUCUUUUAACAAGUAUAAAGCAUUUGCUACCAAAGACUCUAAAAUAUGAAAUAUUGGGAUUUUUACCGGUUAGGAGUUCAUAUGAUGUCUUCUUGAGGAUUCGGUGUAGAUAUAACCGGUUGAUGGCGUAGCAAGCGGUGUUGACCGCCUCAGCCCAAAACCGAUCCGAAGUCUUGUACUCAUCAAGCAUGGUUCUCCCCAUGUCCAAUAGAGUUCUAUUCUUCCUCUCCACUACACCAUUUUGUUGUGGAGUGUAGGGAGAAGAGAACUCAUGCUUGAUGCCCUCCUCCUCAAGAAAGCCUUCAAUUUGAGAGUUCUUAAACUCUGUUCCGUUGUCGCUUCUUAUUUUCUUGAUCCUUAAGCUGAACUCAUUUUGAGCCCGUCUCAAGAAUCCCUUUAAGGUUUCUUGGGUUUGAGAUUUUUCUUGCAAAAAGAAUACCCAAGUGAAGCGAGAAUAAUCAUCCACAAUAACUAGACAGUACUUACUCCCGCCGAUGCUUAUGUAAGCAAUCGGGCCGAAUAGAUCCAUGUGUUGGAGCUCCAGUGGCCUGUCGGUCGUCAUUAUGUUCUUAUGUGGAUGAUGAGUGCCAACUUGCUUUCCUGCCUGGCAUGCGCUACAAAUCCUGUCUUUCUCAAAAUGAACAUUGGUUAGUCCUAAAAUGUGUUCUCCCUUUAGAAGCUUGUGAAGAUUCUUCAUCCCAACAUGGGCUAGUCGGCGGUGCCAGAGCCAACCCAUGUUAGUCUUAGCAAUUAAGCAAGUGUCGAGUUCAACUCUAUCAAAAUCUACCAAGUAUAGCUGACCCUCUAACACUCCCUUAAAUGCUAUUGAAUCAUCGCUUCUUCUAAAGACAGUGACACCUAUAUCAGUGAAUAGACAGUUGUAGCCCAUUUGACAUAAUUGAGAUACGGAAAGUAAGUUGUAAUCCAAAGAAUCAACAAGAAAAACAUUGGAAAUAGAAUGGUCAGGAGAUAUAGCAAUUUUACCCAAACCUUUGACCAAACCUUGAUUUCCAUCCCCGAAUGUAAUUGCUCUUUGGGGAUCUUGGUUUUUCUCAUAUGAGGAGAACAUCUUUUUCUCCCCAGUCAUGUGGUUUGUGCACCCGCUGUCGAGUAUCCAACUUGAGCCCCCGGAUGCAUAAACCUACAACACAAGUUUAGUUCUUGACUUUAGGUACCCAAAUGGUUUUGGGUCCUUUGGCAUUAGACACAAGAACUUUGGGUACCCAAACACAAGUCUUUGAACCCUUAUGCUUGCCCCCAACAUAUUUGGCAACUACCUUGCCGGAUUUGUUAGUCAAAACAUAAGAUGCAUCAAAAGUUUUAAAUGAAAUGUUAUGAUCAUUUGACGCACUAGGAGUUUUCUUUCUAGGCAACUUAGCAUGGGUUGGUUGCCUAGAGCUAGAUGUCUCACCCUUAUACAUAAAUGCAUGAUUAGGGCCAGAGUGAGACUUCCUAGAAUGAAUUCUCCUAAUUUUGCUCUCAGGAUAACCGGCAGGGUAUAAAAUGUAACCCUCGUUAUCCUGAGGCAUGGGAGCCUUGCCCUUAACAAAGUUGGACAAUCUUUUAGGAGGGGCACUAAUUUUGACAUUGUCUCCCCUUUGGAAGCCAAUGCCAUCCUUGAUGCCCGGGCGUCUCUCAUUAUAAAGCAUGCUACGAGCAAAUUUAAAUUUCUCAUUUUCUAAGUUGUGCUCGGCAAUUUUAGCAUCUAGUUUUGCUAUAUGAUCAUUUUGUUGUUUAAUUAAAGCUAUAUGAUCAUGAAUAGCAUUAACAUCAACAUCUCUACAUCUAGUACAAAUAGAUACAUGCUCAACAAUAGAUGUAGGGGUUUUGCAAGAUUUUAGUUCUACAACCUUAGCAUGCAAUAUUUCAUUUUUACUUCUAAGGUCGGAAAUAGUAGCAUUGCAAACAUCAAAAUCUUUAGCCUUAGCAAUUAAAUUUUCAUUUUCUACUCUUAGGCUAGCAAGAGAAAUGUUUAAUUCUUCAAUCCUAGCAAGCAAAUCAUCAUUAUUAUCUCUAGGGUUGGGAAUUGAAACAUUACAAACAUGUGAAUUAACCUUAGCAUUUAAACUAUCAUUUUCAUGUCUAAGGUUGUCAAUCAUCUCAUGGCAAGUGCUUAGCUCACUAGAUAACUUUUCACAUUUCUCAAUUUCAAGAGCAUAAGCCUUUUUAACCUUAACAUGCUUCUUAUUUUCCUUAAUAAGGAGGUCCUCUUGGGAAUCCAAGAGGUCAUCCUUUCCAUGAAUAGCACUAACCAAUUCAUUUAAUUUCUCCUUUUGAGCUAUGUUAAGGUUGGCAAAAAGGGAACGCAAAUUAUCCUCCUCAUCACUAGCAUUAUCAUCACUAGAAGACUCAUAUUUAGUGGAGGAGUUAGAUUUAACCUUCUUCCGCUUGCUGUCCUUUGCCAUGAGGCACUUGUGGCCGACGUUGGGGAAGAGAAGUCCCUUGGUGACGGCGAUGUUGGCGGCGUCCUCGUCGUCGGAGGAGUCGCUUGAGCUUUCGUCGGAAUCCCACUCCCGACAAACAUGGGCAUCGCCGCCCUUCUUCUUGUAGUACCUCUUUUUUUCCUUUCUUCUCCCCUUCUUGUCGUCGCCUCGGUCACUGUCACUAGAUAUAGGACAUUUAGCAAUAAAAUGACCAGGCUUACCACACUUGUAGCAAACCUUUUUGGAGCGGGACUUGUAGUCUUUCCCCCUCCUUUGCUUGAGGAUUUGGCGGAAGCUCUUGAUGACGAGCGCCAUUUCCUCAUUGUCGAGCUUGGAGGCGUCUAUUGGUUGUCGACUUGGUGUAGCCUCCUCCUUCUUGUCCUCCGUCGCCUUGAAUGCGACGGGUUGAGCCUCGGAUGUAGAUGGAUCAUCAAGCUCGUUGAUCUUCCUCGAGCCUUCGAUCAUGCACUCAAAACUUACAAAAUGCCCGAUAACUUCCUCGGGGGUCAUUUUAGUAUAUCUAGGAUUACCACGAAUUAAUUGAACUUGAGUAGGGUUAAGGAAAAUAAGAGAUCUUAGAAUAACCUUAACCAUUUCAUGGUCAUCCCAUUUUACGCUCCCGAGGUUGCGCACUUGGUUCACCAAGGUCUUGAGCCGGUUGUACAUGUGUUGUGGCUCCUCCCCUUUGCGAAGCCGGAAUCGACCGAGCUCCCCCUCGAUCGUUUCCCGCUUGGUGAUCUUGGUGAGCUCGUCUCCCUCGUGCGCGGUUUUGAGCACAUCCCAAACCUCUUUGGCGCUCUUCAACCCUUGAACUUUGUUAUACUCCUCUCUACUUAAAGAGGCGAGGAGUAUUGUUGUCGCUUGAGAGUUGAAGUGCUCGAUUUGGGCUACCUCAUCCUCAUCAUAAUCCUUGUCCCCUACCGACGGUACCUGUGCACCAAACUCAACAACAUCCCAUAUACUUUUGUGGAGUGAGGUUAGAUGAAAUUGCAUUAAAUCACUCCACCUAGCAUAAUCUUCACCAUCAAAAGUUGGUGGUUUCCCUAAUGGGACGGAAAGUAAAGGUGCAUGUUUAGAAAUGCGAGGGUAGUGUAGGGGGAUCUUACUAAACUUCUUACGCUCUUGGCGUUUAGAAGUUACGGAGGGCGCGUCGGAGCCGGAGGUCGAUGUUGAUGAAGUGUCGGUCUCGUAGUAGACCACUUUCCUCAUCCUCUUUUGCUUGUCCCCACUCCGAUGCGGCUUGUGGGAAGAAGAUUUUUCCUUCUUCUCUUUGUGGUGAGAAGAAGAUUUCUUCUCCUUCCCUUUGUUGGAGGAGAUCUUCUUAUUCUCCCUCCUCUUGGUGCGGGACUCUUCCGAUGAAGUGCUCCCUUGGCUUGUAGUGGGCUUUUCGUCGGUCUCCAUCUCCUUCUUGGCGUGAUCUCCCGACAUCACUUCGAGCGGUUAGGCUCUAAUGAAGCACCGGGCUCUGAUACCAAUUGAUAGUUGCCUAGAGGGGGGGUGAAUAGGGCGAAACUGAAAUUUACAAAUAUAAACACAACUACAAGCCGGGUUAGCGUUAGUAAUGAUGAAACGAGUCCGUGAGAGAGGGCGCCAAAACAAAUCCCAAGCGAAUAAGCAAGUGAGACACGGAGAUUUGUUUUACCGAGGUUCGGUUCUUGCAAACCUACUCCCCGUUGAGGAGGCCACAAAGGCCGGGUCUCUUUCAACCCUUCCCUCUCUCAAACGAUCCACGGAUCGAGUGAGCUUUCUCUUCUCAAUCACUUGGAACACAAAGUUUCCGCAAGGACCACCACAAGAUUGGUGUCUCUUGCCUCAAUUACAAGUGAGUUUGAUUGCAAAGAAAGGAUCAAGAAAGAAGAAAGCAAUCCAAGCGCAAGAGCUCGAAAGAACACAAGCAAAACACUCUCUCUAGUCACUAUGGCGUCGUGUGGAAUUUGGAGAGGAUUUGAUCUCUUUGGUGUGUCUAGAAUUGAAUGCUAGAGCUCUUGUAGUAGUUGAGAAGUGGAAAACUUGGAUGCAAUGAAUGGUGGGGUGGUUGGGUAUUUAUAGCCCCAACCACCAAAAGUGGCCGUUGGGAGGCUGUCUGCACGAUGGCACACCGGACAGUCCGGUGCACACCGGACAGUCCGGUGCCCCCUGCCACGUCAUCACUGCCGUUGGAUUCUGACCGUUGGAGCUUCUGACUUGUGGGCCCGCCUGGGUGUCCGGUGCACACCGGACAACUCCUGUUCAUUGUCCGGUGCGCCGGAAUGGGCGCCAGGGCGCGCCUGACUUCUGCGCGCGCAGAGCGCGCAUUAAAUGCGCGGCAGAGAGUCGUUGGCGCGGAGAUAGCCGUUGCUCCGGAGUCGCACCGGACAGUCCGGUGCACACCGGACAGUCCGGUGAAUUAUAGCGGACUAGCCGUUGCAGUUUCCCGAAGCUGGCGAGUUCCUGAGGCCGCUCCUCCUUGGCGCACCGGACACUGUCCGGUGUACACCGGACAGUCCGGUGAAUUAUAGCGCGAGUGCCUCUGGAAAUUCCCGAAGGUGGCGAGUUCGAGUUGGAGUCCUCUGGUGCACCGGACAUGUCCGGUGGUGCACCGGACACUGUCCGGUGGCACACCGGACAGUCCGGUGCGCCAGACCAGAGGUGCCUUCGGUUGGCCCUUUGCUCCUUUGUUGAAUCCAAAACUUGGUCUUUUUAUUGGCUGAGUGUGAACCUUUUACACCUGUAUAAUCUAUACACUUGGGCAAACUAGUUAGUCCAAUUAUUUGUGUUGGGCAAUUCAACCACCAAAAUUAAUUAGGGACUAGGUGUAAUCCUAAUUCCCUUUCAGCGUGCAUGGCAUGACAGUCUCCUUUUCCCAACUUCACAUAUGAUGUACACCAAGUUAACCUUUUAAGUUGGUUAAAGUUUUCUUCCACUAUCAAUAUAAGAUUAAAAAUUUUAUCUUCCUAACAUUUAUUAUGGGUCAUGAAAUAUUAAAAGAACUAAAUGAGCCUUAUCUAUUAUUUAAACCCCCUAACAUUUAUUACGGAUCAUGAAAUAUUAAAAGAAUAAAAUGAGCAUGAUCUAUUAACCCCGACAUGCACCCUCCCACUCCUAAAACAUAAAAUAAAAGACUUCAGAGAAGAGAGAAGUAAUUUUCUAAGGCCGGUUCUAGUGAGAGUUUUUUUUGUAUUCAAUAAGGUGUCACAUAAACGUUUUUUAUGAUGUGGCAAUUUUUUUAAUAAGACAUAAGUGAAUUUCACGAGGACAAAACUCUUUUGGCACGAUUACUAACUCUCUACAUAUCAUAAAAUUAGACAUCUAUAAAAAAUAAAACUUUCUAAUAAAAAUAAAUAUUUUAUCUAGAUUUUAUUUUUUAUAUGACAUCUCAAUCUCGAAAAACGUUAUAAAACUCGUUGUUGAUACUAUCAAAACUUGAGGAGAGAAAGUAGUGUUAUUCGCUGAUAGUAGAAAGUCUAUCUAUGUAAGGACCUAUUUGGGAAUAUAGUAUUUUUAGUUCCAAGAUGAUACUGUGGUAUUUCAACAUACCAUAAUAUUUUAGACCAAAACAUGUUUGGUAGUACAUUUAGAAAUAUUGUACAUCUAAAAUAUUUUGGUCUGAAUCAAAGUUUUUCAUUGGCGUAUGGAAAGCGACGGCUACGGUCUUGCCCUUUCUUCUCUCCUACGUUGCAACCAAAAUAUUGUAUCUUUAAACAGAUAUUGGAUUAAACUAAUAUAAAAUAUAUCAUAAUUGUAUCAUGUCGCUUUGUAAAGUAUGGUAAUAUAAAUUGUAGUUUAACGGUUUGUGUGGGAGGGCUUCAAUGCUUCACUUUAAGAAUUUCAGCUUCGUUUUUUCAGGUUUACUAUAAAAUAACUCCAACAAAUUAUUGAUGUGGGUUCGAGAAGUGUUUAGCUUGCACAUAAACUCCAUCUUUUGUAAUACAAUUUAUUUUUGUGAGUUUUUUUAUUACCCUUGAUAAUUAGUGGUUGUCACGAGAUAACCGAAGCACUAUGUUAUGUAACUAGUGACGUGAUGGUCAUUUCUAUGCAACUUUAUGAUGUAUGAAAACAAUGUUUGUGAAGCACAUUUUGAAGGGCUUCAUUAUUUUCAUGAAGAUGACCUAUAGUUUCAUUUUGUUUUCAAAGCUAGAGCUUGUGGUGCUAAACCUAUUUGAAUGGAAG
RNAcentral lists this long non-coding RNA (14211 nucleotides) under Zea mays. RNAcentral describes it as "long non-coding RNA (ZMAY_LNC003485)". Lineage: Eukaryota; Viridiplantae; Streptophyta; Magnoliopsida; Poales; Poaceae. The record is from RNAcentral.